Molecule: ribosomal RNA, 264 nt
Filed under: uncultured bacterium
Lineage: Bacteria
Description: partial 16S ribosomal RNA
Rfam family: Bacterial small subunit ribosomal RNA
Source: RNAcentral
UCAACAGAGGGAUGCAAAACCGUGAGGUGGAGCGAACCCCUAAAAGCCGUCCCAGUUCAGAUCGCAGUCUGCAACCCGACUGCGUGAAGUCGGAAUCGCUAGUAAUCGCGGAUCAGCAUGCCGCGGUGAAUACGUUCCCGGGCCUUGUACACACCGCCCGUCACACCAUGAGAGUUGGGAACACCCGAAGUCCGUAGCCUAACCGCAAGGGAGGAGCUGCCGAAGGCGGGGCCGGUAACUGGGGUGAAGUCGUAACAAGGUAAC